This 254-nucleotide ribosomal RNA is filed under the name uncultured bacterium. Its description in RNAcentral is "partial 16S ribosomal RNA". It matches the Rfam family "Bacterial small subunit ribosomal RNA", at positions 57 to 305 of the family's 1533-position model. The record is from RNAcentral.
GCAAGUCGAACGGUAACAGGGAAUAGCUUGCUAUUUUGCUGACGAGUGGCGGACGGGUGAGUAAUGCUUGGGAAUUUGCCUUGUUGUGGGGGACAACAGUUGGAAACGACUGCUAAUACCGCAUAAUCUCUUAGGAGCAAAGGUGGCCUCUAUUUAUAUGCUAUCGCAACAAGAUGAGCCCAAGUGGGAUUAGCUAGUUGGUGGGGUAAAGGCUCACCAAGGCGACGAUCCCUAGCUGGUCUGAGAGGAUGAUC